RNAcentral lists this antisense RNA (187 nucleotides) under Capsicum annuum. Its description in RNAcentral is "Antisense RNA which regulates isiA expression". It matches the Rfam family "Antisense RNA which regulates isiA expression". The record is from Rfam by way of RNAcentral. Lineage: Eukaryota; Viridiplantae; Streptophyta; Magnoliopsida; Solanales; Solanaceae.
AAUAACCAAAUAUGAUACUCGGGCUAAGGGUCAAGUUGGUAGUUUUUCUUACAUCUCCCCCUCCCGGAUCCCAGGUAUCAUAUACGCCCCCAAAAUAAAGAGCCUUGAACACUAGAAGAAAAGCACCUAGACGUAACAAGAUUAAGUGAAUACCUAAAAUUGUAGUCAUUUUAUUUUGAUCUUGCCA